CCCUUAGAUGUUCUGGGCCGCACGCGUGCUACACUGAGUGGAUCAGCGGGUCAGGUUGCGCGAAAGUGUUUCCUAAUCUUUAAAUCCGCUCGUGAUGGGGAUUGACGGUUGCAAUUUUCCGUCAUGAACGAGGAAUACCUUGUAAGCGCGGGUCAUCAUCCCGCGCUGAAUACGUCCCUGCCCUUUGUACACACCGCCCGUCGCUCCUACCGAUUGGGUGGUCCGGUGAGGCUUUGGGAUCUGGGCGGAAAGAGCGUUUCGCUGUUUCUGCCCGGAAAACUCAGUCGAACCUUAUCAUUUAGAGGAAGGAGAAGUCGUAACA
Molecule: ribosomal RNA, 322 nt
Filed under: uncultured eukaryote
Lineage: Eukaryota
Description: partial 18S ribosomal RNA
Rfam family: Eukaryotic small subunit ribosomal RNA
Source: RNAcentral